Molecule: ribosomal RNA, 208 nt
Filed under: uncultured bacterium
Lineage: Bacteria
Description: partial 16S ribosomal RNA
Rfam family: Bacterial small subunit ribosomal RNA
Source: RNAcentral
CACGCAGGUGGCGAGAUAAGUUGGAUGUGAAAUUCCCGUGCUUAACAUGGGGACUGCAUCCAAAACUGUUGAACUGGAGUACUGUAGAGGGAGGUAGAAUUCCACGUGUAGCGGUGAAAUGCCGUAGAGAUGUGGAAGAAUACCAGAGGCGAAGGCGGCCUCCUGGACAGAUACUGACACUGAGGUGCGAAAGCGUGGGUAGCAAACA